UACGUAGGGUGUAAGCGUUGUCCGGAAUUAUUGGGCGUAAAGAGCGUGUAGGCGGCCCGACCAGUCCGCUGUGAAAGUCCAGGGCUCAACCCUGGAAUGCCGGUGGAUACUGUCGGGCUAGAGUCCGGAAGGGGCGAGUGGAAUUCCUGGUGUAGCGGUGAAAUGCGCAGAUAUCAGGAGGAACACCAAUGGCGAAGGCAGCUCGCUGGGACGUGACUAACGCUGAGACGCGAAAGCGUGGGGAGCAAACAGG
RNAcentral lists this ribosomal RNA (253 nucleotides) under uncultured bacterium. Its description in RNAcentral is "partial 16S ribosomal RNA". It matches the Rfam family "Bacterial small subunit ribosomal RNA", at positions 524 to 776 of the family's 1533-position model. The record is from RNAcentral.